Molecule: ribosomal RNA, 101 nt
Organism: Cavia aperea (Brazilian guinea pig)
Lineage: Eukaryota; Metazoa; Chordata; Mammalia; Rodentia; Caviidae
Source: Ensembl
UUGUCCGUGGACAUACCCAAUCUCGUCUGCCCUUGGAAGCUGAGCAGAUUCAGGCCUGGUUAGCACUCAGAUGGGAGACAAUCAUGGUGAUGAGGUACAAA